RNAcentral lists this ribosomal RNA (393 nucleotides) under uncultured bacterium. Its description in RNAcentral is "partial 16S ribosomal RNA". It matches the Rfam family "Bacterial small subunit ribosomal RNA", at positions 523 to 918 of the family's 1533-position model. The record is from RNAcentral.
AUACGGAAGGUCCGGGCGUUAUCCGGAUUUAUUGGGUUUAAAGGGAGCGCAGGCGGAGAUGCAAGCGUGACGUCAAAUUUCGGGGCUCAGCCCCGUCUCGCGUCGCGAACUGCGUCCCUUGGUUGCGGGAAGGGGAGGCGGAACUCGGGGUGUAGCGGUGAAAUGCAUAGAUAUCACGAAGAACUCCGAUCGCGAAGGCAGCCUUCCGGCCCGUCAACGACGCUCAUGCUCGAAGGUGCGGGUAUCAAACAGGAUUAGAUACCCUGGUAGUCCGCACAGUAAACGAUGGACACCCGCGGUUUGGCCUGUAUGGCUGAGCCGCCAAGCGAAAGCGUUAAGUGUCCCACCUGGGGAGUACGCCGGCAACGGUGAAACUCAAAUGAAUUGACGGGG